Long non-coding RNA from Lucilia sericata (common green bottle fly), 783 nucleotides. RefSeq lists it as uncharacterized. NCBI's taxonomy places the organism in Eukaryota, Metazoa, Arthropoda, Insecta, Diptera, Calliphoridae. The record is from RefSeq and is a predicted model, not a curated record. The transcript has 3 exons.
UUGAGUUGGAGCCGUUAAACGUAACACAUCUCGUUGUUCGCUAUUGUACUGCUAUUUUGUAUUCAAUUGCAUCGUAAAGUUCUGUUCGCGUGUUUGUCAUUCAGCCAGCCAUCUAGCCAGUCAUACAGUCAGUCAGUUAGUUAGUUAGUCAGUACACAACAACGCUGCUGCUGCUAAUUUUAUUCUCUUGCUUUUCUUGUCAAAAGUCAAACGAACCCAACGACCGACCAGUUCAGUUCAUUUCAGUUUCAGCAGCAAGUUUCAGUGUUUUUUGGGGGCCUAUAGCGAGCAAAGCGUACGAGCAAGCAAAUAGUGUCUCAAGUAUCACUUCACUAGACGAAAUUUUGUUUUUAUUGUUGCUAUUUUAAGUGCCAGAAUAAAAGUUUAUAAUUUUUUUUUUAACGAAAAUAUAUUUUAAAAAAAAAAACAAGUGCGAAAUUUACAAAAAUUUUAAAAAAUUUACAAAAAUAUAAAAAAAUUAAAGAAUUAUUGUGCAUUUAACUAAAUAAAUUAUAAAAAAAAUACAAAGAAAAUUUUUUGUAUUAAAAUUUUCUAACAAAAAGGUAUUUAAAAUUAAAAAGUAAUAAAACGAAAAGUGCUAAAAAUAAACCGUAAUAACUAAAACCUUUUAAUUUAUUAAAGAAAAACAAGAAAAUUGUGUCAAAUUGUUAAUGGCUGAAAAUAAAGGAAUCAUGUUGGGCGAAAUCUGUACAAAAACACGCUGGACGUGCCAAAGAAAAGGUAAAUACAUUCCAAAAAAAAACAUUAAAUUACAAAAAAAAA